UACAUGGGGUGCAAACGUUGCUCGGAAUUAUUGGGCGUAAAGCGCACGUAGGCGGUCAUUUAAGUCGGAUGUGAAAGCCCUCGGCUCAACUGAGGAAGUGCAUCCGAAACUGAAUAGCUAGAGUAUGGAAGAGGGUCGCGGAAUUCCCGGUGUAGAGGUGAAAUUCGUAGAUAUCGGGAGGAACACCGGUGGCGAAGGCGGCGACCUGGGCCAAUACUGACGCUGAGGUGCGAAAGCGUGGGGAGCAAACAGG
Molecule: ribosomal RNA, 253 nt
Filed under: uncultured bacterium
Lineage: Bacteria
Description: partial 16S ribosomal RNA
Rfam family: Bacterial small subunit ribosomal RNA
Source: RNAcentral